RNAcentral lists this unclassified non-coding RNA (479 nucleotides) under Hevea brasiliensis (rubber tree). Lineage: Eukaryota; Viridiplantae; Streptophyta; Magnoliopsida; Malpighiales; Euphorbiaceae. The record is from RNAcentral.
CCGGCCAUCUGGUGUUUCGUUGAAAGAAUAAAUAAAUAAUUAAUGCGAGAAUUUUCUUGCAUUGCAAUUUAGGAUAUUCUGUGUUUUAGUGGUUAAUGUCUAGACUGGACGAUUAACCAGUCUCCACAUAAGUAUUUGCUUGUGUGUAUGUUAAGUCUAGCUCUAUACGAGCUAAGUAUGUGCUUGUGUAUGUUGUGCAAUAAACCUUGAAUGCUUGCAGUGCAAACACCUCCCCAGGCGGGCCGGCCAUCUGGUGUUUCGUUGAAAGAAUAAAUAAAUAAUUAAUGCGAGAAUUUUCUUGCAUUGCAAUUUAGGAUAUUCUGUGUUUUAGUGGUUAAUGUCUAGACUGGACGAUUAACCAGUCUCCACAUAAGUAUUUGCUUGUGUGUAUGUUAAGUCUAGCUCUAUACGAGCUAAGUAUGUGCUUGUGUAUGUUGUGCAAUAAACCUUGAAUGCUUGCAGUGCAAACACCUCCCCAG